AGAUGGAGAUCUGGAUGGGUUGUGGUUUGAGUUUCAAGCAAAGAAGAAUAUGAAGAUCUAUUUGUGAGUUGUGAUUUUGAUUUCAAGCGAAGAAGAAGACAAUGAAGAUACAAGUUAUUGAUGAUUAUUUUUCUCUUUUCAUAGUUUUAUUGUUUUUUAAUUAAAGAAUUUAGUUUGAUGAUUGUGUUUCACUCUUUUGAAGGAUUUUAAUUUUUUAGAUAAUUCAUUAC
Molecule: long non-coding RNA, 230 nt
Filed under: Lathyrus oleraceus (garden pea)
Lineage: Eukaryota; Viridiplantae; Streptophyta; Magnoliopsida; Fabales; Fabaceae
Description: Pisum sativum (pea) long non-coding RNA (PSAT_LNC013388)
Source: RNAcentral